RNAcentral lists this ribosomal RNA (540 nucleotides) under uncultured Geobacteraceae bacterium. RNAcentral describes it as "bacterial SSU rRNA". It matches the Rfam family "Bacterial small subunit ribosomal RNA", at positions 9 to 526 of the family's 1533-position model. Lineage: Bacteria; Pseudomonadati; Thermodesulfobacteriota; Desulfuromonadia; Geobacterales; Geobacteraceae. The record is from RNAcentral.
GAGUUUGAUCCUGGCUCAGAACGAACGCUGGCGGCGUGCCUAACACAUGCAAGUCGAACGUGAUCCAGAGCUUGCUCUGGUGAAAGUGGCGCACGGGUGAGUAACGCGUGGAUAACCUACCCUGGUAUCCGGGAUAACAUUCCGAAAGGGGUGCUAAUACCGGAUAAGCCCACGGGCUCUUUGGAGCUUGCGGGAAAAGGUGGCCUCUAUUUAUAAGCUACUGUAUCAGGAUGGGUCCGCGUACCAUUAGCUAGUUGGCGGUGUAUCGGACCACCAAGGCGACGAUGGUUAGCUGGUCUGAGAGGAUGAUCAGCCACACUGGAACUGAGACACGGUCCAGACUCCUACGGGAGGCAGCAGUGGGGAAUUUUGCGCAAUGGGGGAAACCCUGACGCAGCAACGCCGCGUGAGUGAUGAAGGCCUUUGGGUCGUAAAGCUCUGUCAGAGGGGAAGAAAUGAUAUAGUGCUAAUACCACUUUAUCUUGACGGUACCCUCAAAGGAAGCACCGGCUAACUCCGUGCCAGCAGCCGCGGUAAUAC